GAUGAACGCUGGCGGCGUGCCUAAUACAUGCAAGUCGAGCGAACAGAUAAGGAGCUUGCUCCUUUGACGUUAGCGGCGGACGGGUGAGUAACACGUGGGUAACCUACCUAUAAGACUGGGAUAACUUCGGGAAACCGGAGCUAAUACCGGAUAACAUUUGGAACCGCAUGGUUCUAAAGUGAAAGAUGGUUUUGCUAUCACUUAUAGAUGGACCCGCGCCGUAUUAGCUAGUUGGUAAGGUAACGGCUUACCAAGGCAACGAUACGUAGCCGACCUGAGAGGGUGAUCGGCCACACUGGAACUGAGACACGGUCCAGACUCCUACGGGAGGCAGCAGUAGGGAAUCUUCCGCAAUGGGCGAAAGCCUGACGGAGCAACGCCGCGUGAGUGAUGAAGGGUUUCGGCUCGUAAAACUCUGUUAUUAGGGAAGAACAAAUGUGUAAGUAACUGUGCACGUCUUGAUGGUACCUAAUCAGAAAGCCACGGCUAACUACGUG
RNAcentral lists this ribosomal RNA (497 nucleotides) under uncultured bacterium. Its description in RNAcentral is "partial 16S ribosomal RNA". It matches the Rfam family "Bacterial small subunit ribosomal RNA", at positions 28 to 507 of the family's 1533-position model. The record is from RNAcentral.